Long non-coding RNA from Dama dama (fallow deer), 940 nucleotides. RefSeq lists it as uncharacterized. The transcript has 3 exons. The record is from RefSeq and is a predicted model, not a curated record. Lineage: Eukaryota; Metazoa; Chordata; Mammalia; Artiodactyla; Cervidae.
CUGAGUCAUCUUUGUCCAUAAACACGCUUACACUUCCUAACCUCAUCUCGCUGAAGAUGGGUAGCGUGUUUUCUUUCCCUCACCCCCUUCCUAGGGUGUCUAGUCCACUCCCCUCUUCCCUCAGCACCUUCCCUCAGGAACGUAUAUUUUAUCUAUCUUUCCUGUUCCAGACUGCCAGCUGUCACAUGUGAUUGAAGAACUGUAGAAGAAAUAUUGACAUAACCCAUGUAAAGAGAGUUCCUUGGGGUCCUCAGCAAUUCCUUGAAAUGUAAAGAGGUUCUGAGAUUCAGAAGUUUGAGAACUGCUGCUCUAGGACCACUCUUGCCCCCCACAUGGGCUCCUUCUUGCUCUUCCUCGCUAAGACCCGCCGCUUCAACUACCGCCUCCAAGCUGGUGACGGCUCCCGGCAGCACGCAAGCUCGUGUGCACCACUCUUCAAGGACCUGGAGCGAAGGGAAGUGGGACUGCCCCGAGAGUGGAACUGGAUAAAUCCAAACACAGAGGAUGUGAUUGACCACUCAGUCAUUCAACAAAUACUUAGAGCCAUUCUGCUACUACAGUUCUGGGAAGUAGGUGUUUACAGAUUUCACCUUGGUGAGGAGGCAGAUGUGAUGCAAGAGAAGUUCCUGCCAGUCACGGGAAUGGGGGAGAAGGAGGAGAGCCCAGAGAGCAGACUUUAGGAUUGACAGCUCAAGGACAAGACCAGACUAGCAUUCUUGCAGCACACAUUGGUGACAAUCCAGAGAAGAGUCACCAUGAGGUCACCUAAGCACCACCCUCUAGACACUGUCUCCAGGAGGAACAGAGAAAAAGUGAGAGAAACAGCUUUGGCAGAGAGUUGUCACCUUGGCAUAACACUGUCUCACAUUAGAAAACUGAGAUACUUUCAUUGGCAAUUUGAAGCUCCAUCUUCAACAUUUUCUUUGCAUGUCUGAGAUGA